This 384-nucleotide RNase P RNA is filed under the name Spirosoma sordidisoli. RNAcentral's name for it is "Bacterial RNase P class A". It matches the Rfam family "Bacterial RNase P class A". Rfam says of the family: Ribonuclease P (RNase P) is a ubiquitous endoribonuclease, found in archaea, bacteria and eukarya as well as chloroplasts and mitochondria. Its best characterised activity is the generation of mature 5'-ends of tRNAs by cleaving the 5'-leader elements of precursor-tRNAs. Lineage: Bacteria; Pseudomonadati; Bacteroidota; Cytophagia; Cytophagales; Cytophagaceae. The record is from Rfam by way of RNAcentral.
AAUUCAGGCCAGCUUAUCGCGUCCGGGAGAUCGGGCGAGGAAAGUCCGGGCAGCACAGAGCACCCUACUUCCUAACGGGAAGGCGGACGGCUGGGAACGGCCGUUCGACAGCCAGUGUCACAGAAAAUAUACCGCCGAAAGGUAAGGGUGAAAUGGUGGAGUAAGAGCCCACCGCCCGGCGGGCGACCGACGGGGCAGGAUAAACCUUAGGGGCUGAAAGACCAAAUAUGCGCUGGACGUGCGGCUGCUCGUCGCCAGCGGCCCGAAAGGGCCAACACCAGCGCGGGUAGGUCGAACGAGGUGUCGGGUGACCGGCAUCCCAGAUAAAUGAUAAGCAUCCGGCCCGUCCGGAGACAGAACCCGGCUUAUCGGUCUGGGUUGAUU